Molecule: ribosomal RNA, 254 nt
Filed under: uncultured bacterium
Lineage: Bacteria
Description: partial 16S ribosomal RNA
Rfam family: Bacterial small subunit ribosomal RNA
Source: RNAcentral
UACGUAGGGGGCAAGCGUUGUCCGGAUUUAUUGGGCGUAAAGAGCUCGUAGGCGGUUCCGUAAGUCGUGAAGUCAAAUCUCUGGGCUCAACCCAGAAUCGCUUCCUAUACUGCGGUGACUGGAGUCCGGUAGGGGAGUGUGGAAUUCCUGGUGUAGCGGUGAAAUGCGCAGAUAUCAGGAGGAACACCAACAGCGAAGGCAGCACUCUGGGCCGGUACUGACGCUGAGGAGCGAAAGCAUGGGGAGCGAACAGG